This 225-nucleotide ribosomal RNA is filed under the name uncultured bacterium. RNAcentral's name for it is "partial 16S ribosomal RNA". It matches the Rfam family "Bacterial small subunit ribosomal RNA", at positions 309 to 526 of the family's 1533-position model. The record is from RNAcentral.
CACACUGGCACUGAGACACGGGCCAGACUCCUACGGGAGGCAGCAGUGAGGAAUUUUGCGCAAUGGGGGCAACCCUGACGCAGCAACGCCGCGUGUGGGAAGAAGGCUUUCGGGUUGUAAACCACUUUUACCCGGGACGAAAAGGGGAUGUCGAAUACACAUUUCCGAUGACGGUACCGGGAGAAUAAGCCACGGCUAACUCUGUGCCAGCCGCCGCCGUAACAC